AUGUUUCACGCUUCGAAGGGUGGACAUAUCAGUCCUUCACUCCAUAUAUGUACGACUCUAGACUAAACAACACUUGAAAGUAGUGCUCCAAAGAAUUCAGUUCUUUAUAUAUUACCCCAAUUCACAUCCCAAUGAGCUUGCAACAAUACCAAUCCCAAUCCUACAUAAUUUGUACCAGAAAAUGGUUUAUGUAACCAUCGACAGACGGGCCAACGGAGCGAUCGGACAUGUUUUAGGCCUCUUCUUCAAGAUGCUCACUGCUUGAGUAACUUCUAAGGAUAAAAAUGUCCAGCGACUUUUGAAAGCGACUUUAUCGACCUGAAUUAUCGGUAAAACGGAAUUAUUACCGAAUAAUGUCUCUGUUCAUAAAAAUACGAAUCAACGCAAAAUUCAAAAGAAAAACUGAAACAAGCAAUCCAUGCCCCACAAAGCCCCAGAUGUCAAAUUCGUUGUCGUGUGAGAAUACUGGAAAAAUAUCAGUAUAGUUCGGAGCGUCGGAAGUUAAACACAUAAAAAUAAAAUUCUAAAUUUCUAAAUUUUUGAGAAAUAUUUAUUUCGGUUUUUUUUUUCAAUUAGGUUUAAGCAUAAAAGUGAUUAUUUUUUUUUAGUUUUUAAAGUUAAGUAUAAAGUGUACAACAUAAUUAUACUUCUCCAAGAUACACAAGGCUCAAAAAUACUUCUCCAAGAUACACAAGGCUCAAAAAUACUUCUCCAAGAUACACAAGGCUCAAAAAUACUUCUCCAAGAUACACAUCUGUUGAUUUUUUCACAAGAACCGAAAGCCGAGAGUUCAUAUUCAUAAUUACCUGGCCAAAAACAAACUACAAAACGUAUGGCUUUAAUCUUGGUGGCCCAAGAAGAUACAAUUAUACUUCAUUUGACCGCUUUUCUACACAUACCUACAUAAAUAUGGGCACUCUACUUUCAUAUUCAUAAUUACCCGUCCAAAAAAAAAAACUACAAAACAUACCGCUGUAAGCUGUGGUGGCCCAAGAAGAUACAAAACUACAUAAAUAUGGGCACUCUACGUGCGCAUUCAUAUUUACCUGGCCAAAAACACACUACGCAAACGUACGACUUUAUACAAUCUGAUGGGUCUGGGGGUAGUAGUAGUAGUCGCGAAACAAUACUUUGUUUGGGAUUCGGUGGACUAAACAGUCUUUCAGUUAUCGGAAAUGAAAUACUGGGUUAAUCGGGUACAAGUGCUGAUGAGGAAAUCGACGGCAAUACUAUAUUUUGUUACUAAUAAUUAUAUUACUCGUGAUUAUAUUUUGAUACUAAAAUACACAAAGAUGUUUAAUUAUUUGACUGAACCAGAAUGGGGUAGGACUCUAAAAGUUUCCAGCAAAAUGCUGAUUUACUUUCGGGGACAUGCAUUGAAUAUCCCCAUUCCCCUUUUGGAAAAUUUUCCACAACUAAGAAUUCUUUUCGAUAUACUCGCAGAUGUAUAAAACCCCCCGAGGGCAUGCUAUUAUUCAAGAUUUCAUCUUUAGUUUUACAAAUAUUUCCAGUAAACACAUGUACGUGUGUAUGUAUAUAUGAAUAUGCGACUGGGGCGGGAAGAUGCCAUGGAUGCACAGUUCAUAAAAAUACGAAUCAACGCAAAAUUCAAAAGAAAAACUGAAACAAGCAAUCCAUGCCCCACAAAACCCCAGAUGUCAAAUUCGUCGUCGUGUGAGAAUACUGGAAAAAUAUCAGUAUAGUUCGGAGCGUCGGAAGUUAAACACAUCAAAAUAAAAUUCUAAAUUUCAAAAUUUUGUAAAAUAUUUUUUCGGUUUUUUUUUUUCAAUUAGGUUUAAGCAUAAAAGUCCAUAUUCAUAAAUACCUGGCGAAAAGAAAACUACAAAUCGUACGGCUGUAAACUGUGGCGGCGCAAUGAGGUACAACACGGCUUCUUCGGAUAGUUUUUCUACACAAACCUACAUAAAUACGGGCAUCUGAUGAAUCUGGGGGCUCCGAGUAGAAUCGCAAGUAGAACCAAUACUUUGUUUUGACACUAAGAUUCUGCUAUCGGAAAUUAGAUACUGUGGUUAUCGGGUGAAUGGAUAGGAAUAUUAUAUUUUGCUACUAAUAAUUAUAUUACUCGUGAUUAUAUUUUGAUACUAAAACACACAAA
This is a long non-coding RNA of Drosophila miranda, 2116 nucleotides long. RefSeq lists it as uncharacterized. The transcript is spliced from 7 exons. The record is from RefSeq and is a predicted model, not a curated record. Lineage: Eukaryota; Metazoa; Arthropoda; Insecta; Diptera; Drosophilidae.